AAGGAUCAUUACAGAGUUAGGGUCCCCCGGGGCCCGAACCUCCCACCCUUUGAUGUCGCGAACUUGUUGCUUCGGCGGGACCGGCGAAGCCCCCUCGGGGGCAGAGUCGACCGGGCCACGCGCCCGGGCAGCGCCCGCCGGAGGACCCAACCAACUCUGUUUUAACAAUACUGUCGGAGCAAACUUGAUAAAUAAAUCAAAACUUUCAACAACGGAUCUCUUGGUUCUG
Molecule: unclassified non-coding RNA, 229 nt
Filed under: uncultured fungus
Lineage: Eukaryota; Fungi
Description: partial contains 18S rRNA, ITS1, 5.8S rRNA, ITS2 and 28S rRNA
Source: RNAcentral